GAUGAACGCUAGCGGGAGGCCUAAUACAUGCAAGUCGAACGGUAAGGUCCCUUCGGGGAUACACGAGUGGCGGACGGGUGCGUAACGCGUACGAAACAUACCUUCAACAGGGAGAUACCUCCGGGAAACUGGGAAAUAAUACCCCAUAGUAUUGUGACAUCGCAUGAUGUUACAUUAAAGCUUUGGCGGUUGAAGAUUGUCGUGCGUCUGAUUAGCUAGUUGGUGAGGUAACGGCUCACCAAGGCGACGAUCAGUAGCUGGUCUGAGAGGAUGAUCAGCCACACUGGAACUGAGACACGGUCCAGACUCCUACGGGAGGCAGCAGUAGGGAAUAUUGGACAAUGGGCGGAAGCCUGAUCCAGCCAUCCCGCGUGUAGGAAUAAGG
This 385-nucleotide ribosomal RNA is filed under the name uncultured bacterium. Its description in RNAcentral is "bacterial SSU rRNA". It matches the Rfam family "Bacterial small subunit ribosomal RNA", at positions 28 to 414 of the family's 1533-position model. The record is from RNAcentral.